CUUUCUUUGCUGGCGACCGGCGCACGGGUGAGUAACACGUAUCCAACCUGCCCUUUACUCGGGGAUAGCCUUUCGAAAGAAAGAUUAAUACCCGAUAGUAUAAUGAUUCCGCAUGGUUUCAUUAUUAAAGGAUUCCGGUAAAGGAUGGGGAUGCGUUCCAUUAGGUUGUUGGUGAGGUAACGGCUCACCAAGCCUUCGAUGGAUAGGGGUUCUGAGAAGAAGGUCCCCCACAUUGGAACUGAGACACGGUCCAA
RNAcentral lists this ribosomal RNA (254 nucleotides) under uncultured bacterium. RNAcentral describes it as "partial 16S ribosomal RNA". It matches the Rfam family "Bacterial small subunit ribosomal RNA", at positions 79 to 334 of the family's 1533-position model. The record is from RNAcentral.